This is a long non-coding RNA of Saccostrea cuccullata (small rock oyster), 358 nucleotides long. RefSeq lists it as uncharacterized. The record is from RefSeq and is a predicted model, not a curated record. The transcript has 3 exons. NCBI's taxonomy places the organism in Eukaryota, Metazoa, Mollusca, Bivalvia, Ostreida, Ostreidae.
CGUGGUUGGAAGGAAGAUGAUGGCGGCGUACACAGAAGAGGAUCUCUGUGCAUAUACCUCAGAAAAAAUUAAAAAUAUGCGAAAUAGAAUGGAAAAAUGCAAUAAUGGGAGGAUUGUCAGAUUUACAUGCUUCAUUUUGUGAAAAUGUGAGGAUUUACAGAAGAACGGGGAAGGAUGAAGGAUGAUGGGAGAAACAGAAUUACAGGUUGUUUCUUUUGAUGUCUAUGACGCCUUGUCACAAAGACCAGUACUCUGAUGAGAUGUGGGAGUCGGAAUAAUGCCAAUAAGGAGGAGAUAAUUAGAGACUAGAGUUUCAAUUGAAAGCAGUUUUCCUUUGGAACUGAAGAGAGUAAGAUGU